UGAGGGGGAUAUUGCACAAUGGGCGCAAGCCUGAUGCAGCGACGCCGCGUGAGGGAAGACGGUCCUCUGGAUUGUAAACCUCUGUCUUAUGGGACGAAAAAGGACGGUACCAUAGGAGGAAGCUCCGGCUAACUACGUGCCAGCAGCCGCGGUAAUACGUAGGUUGCAAGCGUUGUCCGGAUUUACUGGGUGUAAAGGGCGUGUAGGCGGAGAUGCAAGUCGGGAGUGAAAUCCAUGGGCUCAACCCAUGAACUGCUUUCGAAACUGUAUCCCUUGAGUAUCGGAGAGGCAAGCGGAAUUCCUAGUGUAGCGGUGAAAUGCGUAGAUAUUAGGAGGAACACCAGUGGCGAAGGCGGCUUGCUGGACGACAACUGACGCUGAGGCGCGAAAGCGUGGGGAGCAAACAGGAUUAGAUACCCUGGUAGU
This 426-nucleotide ribosomal RNA is filed under the name uncultured Anaerotruncus sp. RNAcentral's name for it is "bacterial SSU rRNA". It matches the Rfam family "Bacterial small subunit ribosomal RNA", at positions 353 to 794 of the family's 1533-position model. The record is from RNAcentral. Lineage: Bacteria; Bacillati; Bacillota; Clostridia; Eubacteriales; Oscillospiraceae.